Sander lucioperca (pikeperch) is the source of this 87-nucleotide long non-coding RNA. RefSeq lists it as uncharacterized. The record is from RefSeq and is a predicted model, not a curated record. The transcript is spliced from 3 exons. Lineage: Eukaryota; Metazoa; Chordata; Actinopteri; Perciformes; Percidae.
ACCAGGGGGUGUUCGUUCUGUAGCAACAUGUCCGCAGAUAGAAGCUGGACAGGACUGUGUGUACGACUGAUUUAGUGAGAUGCACAA